This 235-nucleotide ribosomal RNA is filed under the name uncultured bacterium. RNAcentral's name for it is "partial 16S ribosomal RNA". It matches the Rfam family "Bacterial small subunit ribosomal RNA", at positions 99 to 334 of the family's 1533-position model. The record is from RNAcentral.
CGGACGGGUGAGUAACGCGUGGGAAACCUGCCCUGUACCGGGGGAUAACACUUAGAAAUAGGUGCUAAUACCGCAUAAGCGCACAGCUUCACAUGAAGCAGUGUGAAAAACUCCAGUGGUACAGGAUGGUCCCGCGUCUGAUUAGCCAGUUGGCAGGGUAACGGCCUACCAAAGCGACGAUCAGUAGCCGGCCUGAGAGGGUGAACGGCCACAUUGGGACUGAGACACGGCCCAA